This 1604-nucleotide ribosomal RNA is filed under the name Staphylococcus aureus. RNAcentral's name for it is "23S ribosomal RNA". It matches the Rfam family "Bacterial large subunit ribosomal RNA", at positions 1323 to 2925 of the family's 2925-position model. Lineage: Bacteria; Bacillati; Bacillota; Bacilli; Caryophanales; Staphylococcaceae. The record is from RNAcentral.
GAGAAUCCCGUCCACCGAUUGACUAAGGUUUCCAGAGGAAGGCUCGUCCGCUCUGGGUUAGUCGGGCCCUAAGCUGAGGCCGACAGGCGUAGGCGAUGGAUAACAGGUUGAUAUUCCUGUACCACCUAUAAUCGUUUUAAUCGAUGGGGGGACGCAGUAGGAUAGGCGAAGCGUGCGAUUGGAUUGCACGUCUAAGCAGUAAGGCUGAGUAUUAGGCAAAUCCGGUACUCGUUAAGGCUGAGCUGUGAUGGGGAGAAGACAUUGUGUCUUCGAGUCGUUGAUUUCACACUGCCGAGAAAAGCCUCUAGAUAGAAAAUAGGUGCCCGUACCGCAAACCGACACAGGUAGUCAAGAUGAGAAUUCUAAGGUGAGCGAGCGAACUCUCGUUAAGGAACUCGGCAAAAUGACCCCGUAACUUCGGGAGAAGGGGUGCUCUUUAGGGUUAACGCCCAGAAGAGCCGCAGUGAAUAGGCCCAAGCGACUGUUUAUCAAAAACACAGGUCUCUGCUAAACCGUAAGGUGAUGUAUAGGGGCUGACGCCUGCCCGGUGCUGGAAGGUUAAGAGGAGUGGUUAGCUUCUGCGAAGCUACGAAUCGAAGCCCCAGUAAACGGCGGCCGUAACUAUAACGGUCCUAAGGUAGCGAAAUUCCUUGUCGGGGAAGUUCCGACCCGCACGAAAGGCGUAACGAUUUGGGCACUGUCUCAACGAGAGACUCGGUGAAAUCAUAGUACCUGUGAAGAUGCAGGUUACCCGCGACAGGACGGAAAGACCCCGUGGAGCUUUACUGUAGCCUGAUAUUGAAAUUCGGCACAGCUUGUACAGGAUAGGUAGGAGCCUUUGAAACGUGAGCGCUAGCUUACGUGGAGGCGCUGGUGGGAUACUACCCUAGCUGUGUUGGCUUUCUAACCCGCACCACUUAUCGUGGUGGGAGACAGUGUCAGGCGGGCAGUUUGACUGGGGCGGUCGCCUCCUAAAAGGUAACGGAGGCGCUCAAAGGUUCCCUCAGAAUGGUUGGAAAUCAUUCAUAGAGUGUAAAGGCAUAAGGGAGCUUGACUGCGAGACCUACAAGUCGAGCAGGGUCGAAAGACGGACUUAGUGAUCCGGUGGUUCCGCAUGGAAGGGCCAUCGCUCAACGGAUAAAAGCUACCCCGGGGAUAACAGGCUUAUCUCCCCCAAGAGUUCACAUCGACGGGGAGGUUUGGCACCUCGAUGUCGGCUCAUCGCAUCCUGGGGCUGUAGUCGGUCCCAAGGGUUGGGCUGUUCGCCCAUUAAAGCGGUACGCGAGCUGGGUUCAGAACGUCGUGAGACAGUUCGGUCCCUAUCCGUCGUGGGCGUAGGAAAUUUGAGAGGAGCUGUCCUUAGUACGAGAGGACCGGGAUGGACAUACCUCUGGUGUACCAGUUGUCGUGCCAACGGCAUAGCUGGGUAGCUAUGUGUGGACGGGAUAAGUGCUGAAAGCAUCUAAGCAUGAAGCCCCCCUCAAGAUGAGAUUUCCCAACUUCGGUUAUAAGAUCCCUCAAAGAUGAUGAGGUUAAUAGGUUCGAGGUGGAAGCAUGGUGACAUGUGGAGCUGACGAAUACUAAUCGAUCGAAGACUUAAUCAA